RNAcentral lists this ribosomal RNA (1282 nucleotides) under Lacticaseibacillus casei. Its description in RNAcentral is "partial 16S ribosomal RNA". It matches the Rfam family "Bacterial small subunit ribosomal RNA", at positions 71 to 1389 of the family's 1533-position model. Lineage: Bacteria; Bacillati; Bacillota; Bacilli; Lactobacillales; Lactobacillaceae. The record is from RNAcentral.
CACCGAGAUUCAACAUGGAACGAGUGGCGGACGGGUGAGUAACACGUGGGUAACCUGCCCUUAAGUGGGGGAUAACAUUUGGAAACAGAUGCUAAUACCGCAUAGAUCCAAGAACCGCAUGGUUCUUGCUGAAAGAUGGCGUAAGCUAUCGCUUUUGGAUGGACCCGCGGCGUAUUAGCUAGUUGUGAGGUAAUGGCUCACCAAGGCGAUGAUACGUAGCCGAACUGAGAGGUUGAUCGGCCACAUUGGGACUGAGACACGGCCCAAACUCCUACGGGAGGCAGCAGUAGGGGAAUCUUCCACAAUGGACGCAAGUCUGAUGGAGCAACGCCGCGUGAGUGAAGAAGGCUUUCGGGUCGUAAAACUCUGUUGUUGGAGAAGAAUGGUCGGCAGAGUAACUGUUGUCGGCGUGACGGUAUCCAACCCAGAAAGCCACGGCUAACUACGCCACACCACGCGGUAUAACACGUAUGUCGAAGCGUUAUCCGGAUUUAUUGGGGGCAUAGAGAGAGCACGCGGUGUUUUAAGUCUGAUGUGAAAGCCCUCGGCGUUAUCCGAGAAGGUAUCAGACUGUGAACUUGUGAGCGAAGAGGGACAGUGGAACUCCAUGUGUAGCGGUGAAAUGCGUAGAUAUAUGGAAGAACACCAGUGGCGAAGGCGGCUGUCUAGUCUGUAACUGACGCUGAGGCUCGAAAGCAUGGGUAGCGAACAGGAUUAAAUACACCGGAUACCCUGGCCGCACCCAAUGAGUGCUAAGUGUUGGAGGGUUUCCGCCCUUCAGUGCUGCAGCUAACGCAUUAAGCACUCCGCCUGGGGAGUACGACCGCAAGGUUGAAACUCAAAGGAAUUGACGGGGGCCCGCACAAGCGGUGGAGCAUGUGGUUUAAUUCGGAAGCUACGCGAAGAACCUUACCAGGUCUUGACAUCUUCUGCCAAUCUUAGAGAUAAGACUUCCCUUCGGGCCAAAAGAAAGGGGGCCAUGGUUGCCCCCCUCCGCCCGAAAUUUGGAUAAUCCCUACCACCAACCCUUUUAUCAGUUGCCUUCAGUUGGGCACUCUGGGAGACUGCCGGCACACCCGAAAAGGGGGGGAGGGCAAAUCUUCGGCCCUUUAUCCCGGGUUUCCCCGGGUUCAAGGGGGGGAAAAAAGUGAAAAACGGGGGGCACUUUUUUUUAACCCUCUUUCUUCGGAUUGUAGGCUGCAACUCGCCUACAUGAAGUUGGAAUCGCUAGUAAUCGCGGAUCAGCAUGCCGCGGUGACCCCCCCCCCAAAUUUUAAACCAA